This 733-nucleotide long non-coding RNA is filed under the name Daucus carota (carrot). RNAcentral's name for it is "long non-coding RNA (DCAR_LNC007311)". The record is from RNAcentral. Lineage: Eukaryota; Viridiplantae; Streptophyta; Magnoliopsida; Apiales; Apiaceae.
AUUACAUAAUUGUUGCAUCAUGCAUUUUAACACUUAGGAGCACAAUAUCUAGAUUUUAAUUUUUGUUUUUAAAUUUUCGUACCUUAAAUUGUGGUGAUCGCUGGAGGACCCCAAGGUACGUUAAUUUCUUUAUUUCUCUAGAUUAGGACACGUAGUUUAAAUCAUCCAUAUUUGUUUACCGCUUUUAUUAUCUCGUUGUGUGGUGCAUCAUUUUAAAUAAAUCUUAAGGGCAAAACCACUCAUAAGAUAAGGGAAGGGAUUUCAUUACUCUUUCCUUGGCCCACAACAAUUUAAUUCUUCAUUUUGCAUUCCCUAGCCUUUUAAUAAAAUUGAAUUAGACGUUAGCCCCUAGGAUUUCGCGCUCAAUUAGGAAGGUACCUAAAAGACGAGGUAAUCUUUAAUUAUUCCGACUUUUCGGUGUCUAAGGCAAGCGAAAGCUUACCUGGCCGAUUAAGGUUUGGUGUCUAAGCGCGGAGAUUGGCCUCUUGGCAAUGCCUGCUCCAAACUGGCCAAACCGGUCCGAAUAAUUUUGGAUUUAUCGAGUUUUUGGUGGUCCUUAACGUUAGGAGCAAGGUCUAGUUCAUUUUUAUUAGGGAACCCUAGAUUUAGGUUUUUCUUUCUCUUUUACACCCUUUCUUUUGUGUGUUUUAAUUUUUCGCACUUACUUGCUACGUGUUUACUAUCUUGUUUAUGCGAACUACUUGGGUUAGGAACGAGUCAUCUAGAUUAGUGA